GACAGUGCCGUAAUCAGAUGAUUCGGCUACUGAAUUGAGAACGAUGAAAGAAUGUUAUCGAAUAUCUAUUGGAGGGCAAGUCUGGUGCCAGCAGCCGCGGUAAUUCCAGCUCGAAGAGCGUCUGUUAAUGUUGCUGCGCUUGAAACGCUCGUCGUUGAAUCUCUGGCAAUUGCCUACGGACACUUCUAUUGUGGUACCGUAGGAAAGUGCCUUUUUGUAUCUAUUCGUCGUAGAUUCACUUAAUUGUGUGUCACGUUCGAGAGCCACUUUCACUUUGGAGAAAUCAGUGUGCUCAUAACAGGCUUAUGCCUGCAUAUAACUGCAUGGGAUGAUGAAACUGGGCCUUUGACUCGUUUCGUUGGUUUACGAUUGCAAAGGCCAUGAUUAAUCGGGACAGACGGGGGCAUUCGUAUUGCGUCGAUAGAAGUGAAAUUCGGUGACCGACGUAAGACGAACAAUCGCGAAAGCAUUUGCCAAGAAUGUUUUCAUUAAUCAAGAACGAAAGUUAGAGUAUCGAAGACGAUUAGAUACCGUCCUAGUUCUAACUGUAAACGAUGCCAACCAGGGUUUCGUCAUAGCUUACAUGCUUGACGAGCACCCUCCGGGAAACCUGAGUAAUCGGGUUCCGGGGGGAGUAUGGUUGCAGAAUCGAAACUUAAAGGAAUUGACGGAAGGGCACACCAGGAGUGGAGCCUGCGGCUUAAUUUGACUCAACGCACGAUAGCCGACUCGGUCCGAACAC
RNAcentral lists this ribosomal RNA (742 nucleotides) under Rhadinorhynchus hiansi. RNAcentral's name for it is "SSU rRNA". It matches the Rfam family "Eukaryotic small subunit ribosomal RNA", at positions 477 to 1231 of the family's 1831-position model. The record is from RNAcentral. Lineage: Eukaryota; Metazoa; Acanthocephala; Palaeacanthocephala; Echinorhynchida; Rhadinorhynchidae.